AAGCAGCCCGACAGCUCUGUACUGCUGAGUGGAGGAAAUAACAAGAAAAGAGAGAAGAGGCUGUUUAUUCCAUGUGAACACAUCUGCAAGUGGAUUCUCCUCAAAGCUUCAUUCAAGCUUUCAGAAGACAGCCAUCCCUGCUGACAGAUUGCCUGCAACCUCAUGAACCAGAACCCUUGGCUCAGCUGCUCCUGGACUCUGCACUGUUGUUGUUUAAAGUUGGUCAUAUCUAGUCUAUGAGCAAAUCCUGUGGACUCCACCUGCAGAAUAUACUUAGCAUCUGAUGAUUCUCAAAACCUCCUUUGCAAACAUGGGUUCAUUCCCCUCCAGUACUAUCCCGGGUUGCUGGUAAUGGUCUCUAGAUCUCCCAGAGUAUCCUAAUAGCCUCCCAACCCAUCUCUGUGGGUUUCUACCCUGGCCUACCAGUGCCUGUUUCUUGUCUGCCCCCACAUAGUCUAUUCUCAAU
This is a long non-coding RNA of Lontra canadensis (Northern American river otter), 466 nucleotides long. RefSeq lists it as uncharacterized. The transcript has 3 exons. Lineage: Eukaryota; Metazoa; Chordata; Mammalia; Carnivora; Mustelidae. The record is from RefSeq and is a predicted model, not a curated record.